AGAGUUUGAUCAUGGCUCAGAAUCAACGCUGGCGGCGUGCCUAACACAUGCAAGUCGCACGAGAAAGGGGAGCAAUCCCUGAGUAAAGUGGCGCACGGGUGAGUAACACGUGAAUAAUCUACCUCCGAGUGGGGAAUAACUGAGAGAAAUCUUAGCUAAUACCGCAUAACACUUACGGGUCAAAGCAGCAAUGCGCUUGGAGAGGAGUUCGCGGCCGAUUAGUUAGUUGGCGGGGUAAUGGCCCACCAAGACGAUGAUCGGUAUCCGGCCUGAGAGGGCGCACGGACACACUGGAACUGAAACACGGUCCAGACUCCUACGGGAGGCAGCAGUGGGGAAUUUUGCGCAAUGGGGGAAACCCUGACGCAGCAACGCCGCGUGGAGGAUGAAAUAUCUUGGUAUGUAAACUCCUUUCGAUGGGGAAGAUUAUGACGGUACCCAUAGAAGAAGCCCCGGCUAACUUCGUGCCAGCAGCCGCGGUAAUACGAGGGGGGCAAGCGUUGUUCGGAUUUAUUGGGCGUAAAGGGUGCGUAGGCGGUUUGGCAAGUCUGAUGUGAAAUCUAUGGGCUCAACCCAUAGUCUGCAUCAGAAACUGCCGGGCUUGAGUAUGGGAGAGGUGAGUGGAAUUUCCGGUGUAGCGGUGAAAUGCGUAGAUAUCGGAAGGAACACCUGUGGCGAAAGCGGCUCACUGGACCAUUACUGACGCUGAUGUACGAAAGCUAGGGGAGCAAACAGGAUUAGAUACCCUAGUAGUCC
Molecule: ribosomal RNA, 756 nt
Filed under: uncultured bacterium
Lineage: Bacteria
Description: bacterial SSU rRNA
Rfam family: Bacterial small subunit ribosomal RNA
Source: RNAcentral